UCUAAUAAAGUAUAUGCGUCUAUCAUUCUCCUACAGAACAACCAUGUAUUUGAGUUAGUCAUUUGGCCGGGCGGACGAACUGACACCGCUUCUCUCCUCCUCCAACCCGUGUUCGCUUGCUCCGUACUACUGAACGUGUAUCAGCACUUCAGCAGCAAAAAUCAGCAUUCCAGCAGUAGAAAAGCAUUCAAAGUGCAAAGCUAUCUGCAUUUCAGCGGCCAAAAUCAGCAUUUCAGCAACAAAAUCAGCAUUUCAGCAGCAAAAUCAGUAUUUCUGUGGGAAAAAUACAGCAUUCCAGCAUUUCAAUAGCUAAAAUAUCAGCAUUUUAGCAGCAAAUCAACAUUUCAACAGCGAAAAUCAGCAGAUCAACAGCAAAAAUUCAGCAUUUCAGCGGCAAACGUACUCAUUCCAACAUUUCAACAGCAAAAUAUCACCAUUUCAGCAACAAAAUAUCAACAUUUCAGCAGCAACAAUACUAGAACUCCAGUCAUGUUAACAAUCAAAUUCUUGAGUACAUUGCAUAUGUUUAUGCACCACAUGUCCUCUUCUUACCUGCAAACAAAAUAUAUGGUACUAUUACUCGUUCAUAUCAUAAUAAUUCAAUAAACAAAAUUCAAUUGUAUGGUAUUGAUACCGGAAGCUUUGCACGAGUUGGAGAGGCAGGAGCAUAAGAUGAACGCUCAUCAACUUGGGAAUCUGGCUGAACAAUAUUAAAUUUGCAUGUUCUUUUAUUGUGGCCAGCAUUAUGUCAUAAGCUACAAAGCAAGGAGUUCUGCUUUCUUUUCAUUUUAGUUCUACUUGCUCCUACUUCA
Molecule: long non-coding RNA, 812 nt
Organism: Nicotiana tabacum (common tobacco)
Lineage: Eukaryota; Viridiplantae; Streptophyta; Magnoliopsida; Solanales; Solanaceae
Source: RefSeq, a predicted model, not a curated record